GAUGAACGCUGGCGGCGUGCUUAACACAUGCAAGUCGAACGGAAAGGCCCAAGCUUGCUUGGGUACUCGAGUGGCGAACGGGUGAGUAACACGUGGGUGAUCUGCCCUGCACUUCGGGAUAAGCCUGGGAAACUGGGUCUAAUACCGGAUAGGACGAUGGUUUGGAUGCCAUUGUGGAAAGUUUUUUCGGUGUGGGAUGAGCUCGCGGCCUAUCAGCUUGUUGGUGGGGUAAUGGCCUACCAAGGCGUCGACAGGUAGCCGGCCUGAGAGGGUGUACGGCCACAUUGGGACUGAGAUACGGCCCAGACUCCUACGGGAGGCAGCAGUGGGGAAUAUUGCACAAUGGGCGCAAGCCUGAUGCAGCGACGCCGCGUGGGGGAUGACGGCCUUCGGGUUGUAAACUCCUGUCGCUAGGGACGAAGCGUUUUUGUGACGGUACCUGGAGAAGAAGCACCGGCUAACUACGUG
This 468-nucleotide ribosomal RNA is filed under the name uncultured bacterium. RNAcentral's name for it is "partial 16S ribosomal RNA". It matches the Rfam family "Bacterial small subunit ribosomal RNA", at positions 28 to 507 of the family's 1533-position model. The record is from RNAcentral.